RNAcentral lists this ribosomal RNA (497 nucleotides) under uncultured bacterium. RNAcentral's name for it is "partial 16S ribosomal RNA". It matches the Rfam family "Bacterial small subunit ribosomal RNA", at positions 28 to 507 of the family's 1533-position model. The record is from RNAcentral.
GAUGAACGCUGGCGGCGUGCCUAAUACAUGCAAGUCGAGCGAACAGAUAAGGAGCUUGCUCCUUUGACGUUAGCGGCGGACGGGUGAGUAACACGUGGGUAACCUACCUAUAAGACUGGAAUAACUCCGGGAAACCGGGGCUAAUGCCGGAUAACAUUUAGAACCGCAUGGUUCUAAAGUGAAAGAUGGUUUUGCUAUCACUUAUAGAUGGACCCGCGCCGUAUUAGCUAGUUGGUAAGGUAACGGCUUACCAAGGCAACGAUACGUAGCCGACCUGAGAGGGUGAUCGGCAACACUGGAACUGAGACACGGUCCAGACUCCUACGGGAGGCAGCAGUAGGGAAUCUUCCGCAAUGGGCGAAAGCAUGACGGAGCAACGCCGCGUGAGUGAUGAAGGUCUUCGGAUCGUAAAACUCUGUUAUUAGGGAAGAACAAAUGUGUAAGUAACUGUGCACGUCUUGACGGUACCUAAUCAGAAAGCCACGGCUAACUACGUG